GGCUCGGUAGCUUAGUUGGUAAAAUACUCGUCUAGCAUACAAGACUCGUGGGUUCAAAUCCCACCUGAGCAC
RNAcentral lists this transfer RNA (72 nucleotides) under Aedes aegypti (yellow fever mosquito). It matches the Rfam family "tRNA". From Rfam's summary of the family: Transfer RNA (tRNA) molecules are approximately 80 nucleotides in length. Their secondary structure includes four short double-helical elements and three loops (D, anti-codon, and T loops). Further hydrogen bonds mediate the characteristic L-shaped molecular structure. tRNAs have two regions of fundamental functional importance: the anti-codon, which is responsible for specific mRNA codon recognition, and the 3' end, to which the tRNAs corresponding amino acid is attached (by aminoacyl-tRNA synthetases). tRNAs cope with the degeneracy of the genetic code in two manners: having more than one tRNA (with a specific anti-codon) for a particular amino acid; and 'wobble' base-pairing, i.e. permitting non-standard base-pairing at the 3rd anti-codon position. The record is from Rfam by way of RNAcentral. Lineage: Eukaryota; Metazoa; Arthropoda; Insecta; Diptera; Culicidae.